AAGCGGGAGCGGCACCGCCGAGGGGACGGGCUGGGGGAGGGGAGCCGACGAUGACCCUGCGCUUUCUGCACCGGCCCCCGCCUCGGGCCUGAGCGGCCCCGUGGAAAAAAAAAAAAAAAAAAAAAAAAAAAAGCCAUAAAUCCCGCCCCGCCCGGCAGGAAUUCCUCAGCAGCGUCACCCAGCAAUGCCCCUUUUGUCCGCCCGGGCCGGCCCCGCCACAGCCCUGCGCGAGGCUGGUGCUCGGCCGGAAACGGCCCCGGCCACGUUUUCUGCCCUGAAAAGUGUGCUGGAGCAGUCUCCCCGCUCCCUGCUGCCGCCGUGCCCGGCCCGCCGUGCUCCCUGCCUCGCUCGGGCUAAAUCCCGUCCUGCCCUUAAACAUUUCGCCUGUUCCAUGCAAGGGAGGAUAAAUGGAGGCUGCAGCCUCCCUUACUGACGAGGGACGCGCAAAUGGCUUUGUCAUGCAAAUGUGGCUCUAAGCCACUUUCAUAUAAAGCCACUUAAUGCCGAGCAGCCAGUGAUCCUCGCCCGCCCGUCAGGCAGUGCCUGCCCUGUCCUUGAAGGAACGGAAAUGGAGGCACUGGCACAGAGGCGUGCUCCCUGCCUCCAUGCUGAAACGGGAUGACCUCAGCACAGGGAGAAGCCUUCCUUCCCUCCCUCCCAUAACCGCCCCCCCCCCCCCAAAAAAAAAAAAAAGAAAAAAAAGAAAAGAAAAGCUCGCUCUCUUCCGUGAAACUAAACUAGUUUCCUGCCAACCCUUCCUUGCUGCUCCCAGAGUACGUCCCUUGUUCCUCUCCGUUCAAAUGCCCGCGGUAAUUACCUGCAUGGACUGUGUUUCUCCUGUGUCCUAAAACAUUUUAUUUCUUUUUAGCUUGUCGUCCUCGCUUGGCAUUAACUUUCGACAACAGCCAGCAGAGUGUGCUAUGAACGCUGAGAAAAGAACAUCCUGCUUCUGGGAAAUUUAUAUAUAUCUCUCCAUAUAUAUAUAUAUACAUAUAUAUAUGUAUACAUAUGUACAGAAAUGCAGAUGAAGACAUUUUAAGUGGUUCUAAUACUUGCAUGAGUGCGAGAUUGCUUUCCAGUCUUUGUAUAAAGUUGGAAAAGUGCCACAGUGGAGAUGUCCAAAUACGUUUCACCGUCAGAGAGAAGGAUCUAGAACACAAGGUAUUUAAUAGAUGAAAAUGCAAAUCGUAACCCCAGCGUACAGGAAGGAGCUUAUGCAAUUAUACAGUAUGAGCAUACGUUUCUCCAACCUCAUUACUCCCUUGUUUGGACUGACUUACUGACAGUGGAGUUCCAAACAGAGUAAUAAACCCAGUAGAAACAAGUGAAAUAAAAAAGAUAGAGGAAAAAUGUUUACUAGAUGUCUUGGAAAUGGAAAUGUUUGCUUGAAAAGCAAACACACGUAUGUUUGGAUUCCUUAUGCUAUUUUGGUGUCUCUUCUUCCUUGUUUUGUAGGAGCAGACAUUUAGGGAGGAGUGAACUGAGUUGUGCUUGUGGGGUAACAAAUAGUUCUGUAUCAUUCAUAAACCAAAACUGCCUUAAAGCAAAGCCAAGUUUGAGACCCUGUGUAAGGGUUUUAAGGGCAAAAGGACAUUAUUAUUAUUAUGCAACCAAACUGGAAUUAGGAUUAAAAGGAAAUCAGAAUGCAUAAACAAAAGCAAAUUCAGAGGCAAGGCGUUCAAAUAAAAUUGCCUGUGGGCCGCAACUAUCUAUGGAAGUGUUAAUUAUUAAGUAAAACUUAAUAAUGUUUUAGAAAUAUAUAUUAGGGUUGUUUGGCUUUUUCUCAUGGAGAGUCUGACAGGGCAAUCAAAGCAGAAUAUUCUCCCCAGCUCUGCUUCUGACAAGAAUGAAUCAAAUACAAUAUUCCUAAUUUUCAUGGCCAAGAGAAAGUAAUAAAAUUAAUAGUUUUAUAUUGGCAAGGAGCUACAAAUUAUCUCAUAUGCAUUGCUCUGGUCAUGCAAUAAUAUUUGUGCUUAAUAUUAAACACAUGUGGCUUAAUGUGUGGACAUGAGAUAAUAAUUAUAAUGGUAUCUGUGUUUUAAACAGUUUUUCAGCUUCUGUAUGCCAAGUAGUAUCAAGUAUUCCUUGGCUGCUGGUAGCCAUGUAUUAGAAGGUAGGCUGUCAUUAAUUGUCAAGCACAGAUGUGCAGUAUUUCAUUGCCACAGAGACCAUCAUCAGUGAAGAGUUGAGCGCAAGGAGGCAGCUGAGCAGUGCUUCACAAUUCAUCACUCCCAUGGAGGAAACAGUGAGUGGCAAGAUAAGAAUGUUUGCUGACUGUGCAAAACCUUUUAAAGUUAGCAGGGGGUGAGGGUCAUCUGUAAAGAAUUUUGGGUGAUUAGGCAGUAAAAAAGUAGAUUAAAUACAGAGUAGAUAAAUGCAAGGUGAUGUCAUAACUUUAUGUAAAAGGUAGAAAUACCUGAAUUAGUUGCUGCCACUCAAUAGUGAGGCUUAAUUGUGUAUGCCCUACAUGAACACCAACUUUAUGUUUGGAAAAGCAAGGCUCAUUUCAAGGAAAGGGACAGAGAACAAAACCAGGAACGCAUUUAUGGCACUCCAGAAAUCUGUGGUGAAUUUGCACCAUGAGUACUGUUCCCUGUUGCGUUUCCUGCUUCUUAGAAAGAAAAUGCUGGAACUAGAAAAGAAUAACAAGGAUGCUCGUCUGUCUGACUUUGUGUCCCUUGAAAGAGACAAUUGAGGUUUGGAGUUCUCACCAAAGAGUGAGGAUGCAUGAGGCCUGUCACAUCCUAUGUAACUUGUAGAGGAUGGAUGCCAGCUGACUUUCUGAGUACAAACCAUCAGAUUUGCCCAAGUCUAAAUAGGCAAGAGGAGAUGGUUCUUCGUUCAGUGCGUUUCUGAAUGGCGCGCUGAGUACAGGCUGUUUCUCUAGGGUGCAGGGAAGAUAGGCCAAGUAUUUGGAAGAGGGCUGUGUUGAGAGUUAAUGAAUGAACACCCCCUCACGCUCAGGAAAUUCCCUGAGCUGAAAGCAGUUGGUAGCUGUGGGAGUGUUGCAGAGAAGAUAUCAUAUAUUUGCCUUGCUUUUCCUCUUCCUUUGACGUUUGCCUGUGGCCUGUGGUGGAAACAGGAUGUUGGACUGAAUGGGUUCUUCAUCCGAGGCAGUACACCUCUUCCUCUGUAUUCAUGAGGAUCACACUGAGUCACAUGAUAGCAAAAAGCCUGUGCCAUGGGGUCUUUCCAACCAAAUUCACUGUUCAUCUGCACCAGGAAUUACUUACAGAGCAGCUGCUGGGCAUGUAUUUCUAUUUUGCCUCAUGAUUUUCUUUCUCUGUGUCCUCAAAAAUUUUAGUAGCAAUAUGCAUACAGCUGCAUUGCAGUUGCUUACCUACAACCAAACCAUCCUUUUGUCCUUCCUCAGCAGAAAAUACUUGUUCCAUGAGAAACAGACCUAAGUCUUACUCUUUUGAUGAGUUUGUCUUUUGAAGGAGCAGCUGUGGACGAAAAUCUCUUUACUCCUCUCCCCCCCUCUCCCACCUAUCCCUCAGCCUCUGUUUGAGGUUCAUGUGGUAGCAUCAAUUUUAGCCACAUUCGAAUUCAGUAGCCAGAAGCUGGCUGGCCAAUACACAUGGGCUGUUGGGCUGCUGCCUCUGAGCAUGACUAAGGUGUUGGAUUUUGUCCAGUGAUUUCAAAUGCUUUUUGAAGUGGAGAGAACAGUUCAAUUGCAUCCUUAGGAAUAUAGGGCAAAAAAUACCAUGCCCUUCGUGAUGUUGUUUCCAUCCUUUUUAGCUUGAUACACCUAUUUCUUAUGUUACCUUUAAUAAAUAAAUAGAGAAAUAUUGUUGGCUUCUUGGUGAAAAAGAAGCACAUGACCUGUGAAAAGCAAAGUGAACUUGUUAAAACCAGAUAGUGUACUUGCAUGGAUUUGUAUGUUUUCUUUCUGAAUUCAUCUAUGACAUAGCUCUUAGAUCAUUCCCUAGAUGAUACACAGGGAAUCAUCCUGUUGGACAGAAUGGGACAUGCAGAGUAAAUUAGAUUUGUCAUCUCUCUGAGAUUUUCUCCUUUGCUCACUACCUGUAGGAGAGGAUUUUCAUAGUAAUGUGGCCUGUCUUCACGCUCCAUUUAUUGUAGUCCAAUUGAUGUAUGCAAUCUUGGUUGAACAGAUAGGUAAUGGAGUAAACAUAUAACGUGUUGAAUGCCUAAGCAACACAUCUGAGAGAAACAGGUAGGCAAGAAUCAAAGUGCAAUGUUUAGAGACAAAAAUUGGCAUUGUUCUCUGACAGGACAUCUUUAUACAAGUUUAUUAUCAUUUUGUCAUUAGAGGAGAUGACAGAAUUUGAAAUUACAAUGUAAAUAUCUUUUAUUUGCUAGCAUUAUACAAGAUUUUUCUGUUUUAUUCCUGAAUAGGACUUUAAUAUGUUGGCUUUUAAUAUCAAUAGAAAAUGUUCAUUUCAUAUCUGUGAACAGGAGAGUGCUGAUGGCCACAUGAUGAAAAAAUGCUGUUUACUGUUUCAGAGAUUGCUACAAAGCUGACUGGACACUUUUGCUAUUGAUUGGCAAUCCAGAAAGAGAAAUCCUCUUCCAGUAUUUUAGCAGAAAAAGCCAUCUUUCUCUUUGAUGCUCAUAAAGAGUAGGAAACCGCAGUAAAACAACAAACAAGUUCUGUAACUGUGGUAUGGCAGCCUUUGCUGAUUUGAUAUCUUCAAUACAAAGGACAAAAAAUACUGUAGGAAAACAUAUAUUUUUACUGAAACUAUCCAAGACACUAGGAUAUUUUUCUUGCCCCACCAGUGGCUGGCAGAGGAGAUGUUAUAGAAAUGGGUUUGAGGACUGGUCUGAGCUGUCCUAAAUUUGAGCUAUUCAGGAUUUUGGGCCUUUUUCCCAAGUGUGCAAGGAAUAGUCACAUAUGAUGUAAAAGGGAUCUCUGUAUUGACAGAUUUAUUCUCCCUCCUAGUAUUUCUAUAUGGAUAGUUAUUUAAUCCAUGCAAGAACCUUUCCUGUAGCAACUUAGAAACGUCAAGAAACUUUGCUGAAUGCUUUAGCACAUUUUUGUUCUAUUAAGAGCAUCUUGGGCAUUUCUGAGACAGAAAAUAGGUACAUCAUGUACUAUAACAGUCUCAAAGACAUGAACUUUAGUUGUAUUGAUGGUGAAAGGCUGAGUGUUCUGGAGAGAAGUUCAAAAUUCAGGCCUUGCUGACGUAAUUAAGGAGGUGGGGAAUGUAAGUAUUUAAAAUUCUUGAAAUUUCCACCUUAUAUUGUGCAAUGUAUGACACCUUUUUUUUUCCUUUUUUCUUUUUUCUUUUCUUUUUUUUUUUCCCAAGCCAUUUUUACUGUUGCUCCAAGUCAGCCUGACUUGUUCCUGUGUGCAGAGUACCUGGAAUGGAAGACCAUAACACAGCUGACAAAUUCUGCUGUAGCAAGAAGAACAUGUCCCAGUUACCAGGGUUUAGGCAAGAUGUGUCUUUUCUGGUCCUUGCAAAUUUCUGCCAAACAUUUUGGUGUCAUUGUUCACAGGUUUGAUCAGAUCACUCUCUCCAGUUUGUUUUCCCAAUGUUAGCUGCAAACACAUGAUAAGUUCAUGUCAUGGUGCUGUCCAUAUGUGUUCCUAGGCCCCAGUCCUGCUUUUCAGGACAGACACCACCAGAAGCUGUGACCAUUUCAGCUCAUUGAAGCAUGAGAGGAGAAGGAUAACGUGGAAUUGAUCUUGGUGACUGUGCGUUCUAGGUUCACACCAAUCUACCUGUGAGAGAAAUAUGGAGCCAACACAUAGCUUAAGCCCUCUAGGAGUGCAGGACUGGUGGGAGGGGCUUCUGAGGGACUGUGCCAUCUUGAAUUUGAAUCUUGAACAUAAUCUGAAUGUAUCUUCUCAACAUGAUCAGAAAAUACUUUCUCAUCAGGGUCUUGCUGCCUGGAUUACUUCAGCAGGCUGAUUUUGUUGUCUUAGUUUUAAUUGGCUUUUUUCCUUCCUCAGUGUGAAAACUCGGCUUUGCCUUGCCAGAAAGAAGAGCAGUGACCAUAGCAAUUUAACACGUGAUGAUAACUGAUUUCUGUCUUGGUACAGGGAAGAAUGGAUUCCAAAGGUUUUAGUACCUCUGAUUAAAUUGGAACUGUUUAUGAGUGAAAGAAUAUAAAAAGAAUUCAUGAUGCCACUCGGACCUUUCUUACAGGUUUGGCAUAUGCUACUUUCCUGUGUUACUUCCACUUCAUCCAAGUGUUUCUGGCUAAGCUGUGCAAAUCAAACUUUUCUAGAAUUUGUUAUCUUUGUAGCAUAGGUACACUGAGCUUUGCCAUUUACUGUAACCCUCUUUUUUAUUUUCCUUGAAAGGCCAUGAUAUGCCUAGAGCAUUGGAAGUAAUUUGUGACGAAAAAUAAGAGAGGGGGAACGAAAGAGGUUCUUUCUCUUCCUGACUAGAUCUGAAAUCUAGUUAAGUUAUUUUGGAAUGUAGUUAAUGAUCUAGUGAUGUGACACUUCUGUUACCAGAGACUACACUUUCUUGAUUUUUGCUCAGUGAGGGUUUUCUUUACAGCACUGGUGGCAGUUUCCAGUUUUCAGCACCCUCUUUGAAUUUGGAGGCAAUGAAAUUCUUCACUGCUGAGUGGAAGCAUCCUCACCUGUCUAGGAAAGCAUCCUGUCUAGCACCUGACUAUUCCCUGACUGAAGACUUGACACACUCAGCUGCCAGCUACUGCAACUGAUGUACCACUGGAAUAGUCCCAUGCCGGGAGGAAUGUUACUUGCUCAUGAGUCUGCAGGUACUCCAGGUCUCUCUGUGGUAUGUCAGCCUGGUUAAACUCAACCAGCUUGGAUUUUCAUCUGUCAAGGUGUGGAUCUUCCGCAUGUACCAUUUUUUAACUUGUUUUACUGGUUUUGGGGUGCAUUUUUUCUUCUGAGUGUUGCACGUUUUCUUAGUUUAUGUUUGAGAUAUUUUUAUUAGUUUCAACUUUUUUUUUGGUCCUUCACUUUUCUGAGAAAGCAAGAAAAGCAGAGUUGAUGAAGUCUCAGCAACAUUUUACAGAUUCAUUAGCUUUUACCUUGGUGUCUACCAAAAUCUGAAAAUGCGUGUACAAAUCACCCCAGACAUCCAUGGUCUUGGACUGUUUGUCUGUGAUAGCCACCCCAUCUCUCCUCUGACCAAUGCAAUUUCUCAUGGUACAUUCAAAAGUAUUGGGAUGCGCAAUCCCAAUGCCUUCAUUUUCUGAGUGCAUGCCUCCUGGUGUCCAUAGAAAUGGUCUUCUUGGAAGAAAAUGGAACAUUUUAGUGCUGCUUAGCACAACCUCUGUUUCUUCUCUAAUACACUGAUAAUUUCAAUACUUUGCUUGUUUGUUUCAUCAUUCCGUUAAUGACUUAAUACUGUGAAACUUGCUUCCUUGCUCUUUCUUACUUUCCCCAAAGUGAUUGCUCAGAACUGCACACUGCAGUAAUCUCCUAUUACAACAUAAAAUUGUCUUAACUGAGGCAGAAUCCUGGUUGCGAAUUUCCUGAUAUGGUACAUGAGUUCUCUUGACUCAUGUGUUUAUGUGGCAAAUCCCAGAGGACUCACUCAGUAAAUAGUAUGCUGUCAUGGUAGCAGGUAGCAAGAACUUUGGUUACUAACUGAAUCAUGCAACAUAAUGAUUAAAUGAAGACCAGUAUGAUACUGAUAUUAUACAGCAAAUUCUUGAGGUGUAAUCCAUGUCUAGGGGGUGUGCUUGGAAAUUAUAUGCAGAUGAAGCAUGCUUGCUGGCUACUUGGGAUUCAAGAUACUCUUCCUAAUCUGCGUCCGUAAAGACUAUUUCCAUCUGUCCCUUACCUUUGACAGUUUCUUAUACCAUAGCUCUCAUAUAGUCUAACCAAAGCUAACUUGACUGGAGCUGCCAUAAUAUGCUCAAAUAUUCCCACCUAGUGCUUUCGUUCUGCCUGUGUUUUACGUUUAAUGACUAUCAGACAUUAAUUUCUUUAUUUGAGUAAAUUCCAUGCUUAGGCAUCUUGAGAAAAGUUAUGAUUAAAUGUAAAGUCUGCAUGGUUGCUUCGGAGAACUGCAGUAGUUCUGUAAAGAUCAAUUAAUCAUUACUCACUUUCACAGUAGCCACAUUGCUUCCUUCUCAACAGAUUGUCUUCAUGCAGCUGUACGUUAAUUCCAUCCUCUGUUAUAGUUUUUGCUAAGUCCUCCGGAAUGGAGACCAAACUUACUGCUCUAUCAUUUUUUGUAUCUUUUCUGAGGGUUUCCUUGCCAAUUUUGAAAAUCGCAAAUAAAGGAAUUACUGUGCUCUAA
Long non-coding RNA from Passer domesticus (house sparrow), 8204 nucleotides. RefSeq lists it as uncharacterized. NCBI's taxonomy places the organism in Eukaryota, Metazoa, Chordata, Aves, Passeriformes, Passeridae. The transcript has 2 exons. The record is from RefSeq and is a predicted model, not a curated record.